AAGUCGUAACAAGGUUUCCGUAGGUGAACCUGCGGAAGGAUCAUUAUUGAGCCUUAGUGCUCUUAAUUUAAAAAGUGGUUGUUUAGCUGCUUAAUUUAAAAAUAGCUGUUUAGCUAUAUUUUUACUCUGUGAAAACAUUAUACCAUUUGACUACUAGUGUAACAGCUUUUUUUACUUUAUUAAAUUAAAUAAAACAACUGUUAGCAACGGAUCACUUGGUUCUCACAUC
This 229-nucleotide unclassified non-coding RNA is filed under the name fungal sp. Its description in RNAcentral is "partial internal transcribed spacer region". The stretch from base 1 to 46 matches the Rfam family "Eukaryotic small subunit ribosomal RNA", at positions 1786 to 1831 of the family's 1831-position model. Lineage: Eukaryota; Fungi. The record is from RNAcentral.